This 497-nucleotide ribosomal RNA is filed under the name uncultured bacterium. RNAcentral's name for it is "partial 16S ribosomal RNA". It matches the Rfam family "Bacterial small subunit ribosomal RNA", at positions 28 to 507 of the family's 1533-position model. The record is from RNAcentral.
GAUGAACGCUGGCGGCGUGCCUAAUACAUGCAAGUCGAGCGAACAGACGAGGAGCUUGCUCCUCUGACGUUAGCGGCGGACGGGUGAGUAACACGUGGAUAACCUACCUAUAAGACUGGGAUAACUUCGGGAAACCGGAGCUAAUACCGGAUAAUAUAUUGAACCGCAUGGUUCAAUAGUGAAAGACGGUUUUGCUGUCACUUAUAGAUGGAUCCGCGCCGCAUUAGCUAGUUGGUAAGGUAACGGCUUACCAAGGCAACGAUGCGUAGCCGACCUGAGAGAGUGAUCGGCCACACUGGAACUGAGACACGGUCCAGACUCCUACGAGAGGCAGCAGUAGGGAAUGUUCCGCAAUGGGCGAAAGCCUGACGGAGCAACGCCGCGUGAGUGAUGAAGGUCUUCGGAUCGUAAAACUCUGUUAUUAGGGAAGAACAAAUGUGUAAGUAACUAUGCACGUCUUGACGGUACCUAAUCAGAAAGCCACGGCUAACUACGUG